UAACUUGAAUGUUGCGUUUGCUAAUUUG
This 28-nucleotide small RNA is filed under the name Bombyx mori (domestic silkworm). Its description in RNAcentral is "ovarian small RNA-19064". Lineage: Eukaryota; Metazoa; Arthropoda; Insecta; Lepidoptera; Bombycidae. The record is from RNAcentral.